Molecule: ribosomal RNA, 500 nt
Filed under: uncultured bacterium
Lineage: Bacteria
Description: partial 16S ribosomal RNA
Rfam family: Bacterial small subunit ribosomal RNA
Source: RNAcentral
AUUGAACGCUGGCGGAAUGCUUUACACAUGCAAGUCGAACGGCAGCACGGACUUCGGUCUGGUGGCGAGUGGCGAACGGGUGAGUAAUGUAUCGGAACGUGCCCAGUCGUGGGGGAUAACGUAGUGAAAAUUACGCUAAUACCGCAUACGAUCUAUGGAUGAAAGCGGGGGAUCGCAAGACCUCGCGCGAUUGGAGCGGCCGAUAUCAGAUUAGGUAGUUGGUGGGGUAAAGGCCCACCAAGCCAACGAUCUGUAUCUGGUCUGAGAGGACGAACAGCCACACUGGAACUGAGACAAGGUCCAGACUCCUACGGGAGGCAGCAGUGGGGAAUUUUGGACAAUGGGCGAAAGCCUGAUCCAGCCAUUCCGCGUGCAGGAUGAAGGCCCUCGGGUUGUAAACUGCUUUUGUACAGAACGAAAAGGUUUCUACUAAUACUAGGAGCUCAUGACGGUACUGUAAGAAUAAGCACCGGCUAACUACGUGCCAGCCGCCGCCGCCG